CCUACGGGCGGCAGCAGUGGGGAAUAUUGGACAAUGGGCGAAAGCCUGAUCCAGCCAUGCCGCGUGUGUGAAGAAGGCCUUCGGGUUGUAAAGCACUUUCAGUGGGGAAGAAAGCCUUGGGGCUAAUACCCUCGAGGAAGGACAUCACCCACAGAAGAAGCACCGGCUAACUCCGUGCCAGCAGCCGCGGUAAUACGGAGGGUGCGAGCGUUAAUCGGAAUUACUGGGCGUAAAGCGCGCGUAGGCGGUCUGAUAAGCCGGUUGUGAAAGCCCCGGGCUCAACCUGGGAACGGCAUCCGGAACUGUCAGGCUAGAGUGCAGGAGAGGAAGGUUGAAUUCCCGGUGUAGCGGUGAAAUGCGUAGAGAUCGGGAGGAAUACCAGUGGCGAAGGCGGCCUUCUGGACUGACACUGACGCUGAGGUGCGAAAGCGUGGGUAGCAAACAGGAUUAGAUACCCGUGUAGUC
Molecule: ribosomal RNA, 465 nt
Filed under: Vreelandella stevensii
Lineage: Bacteria; Pseudomonadati; Pseudomonadota; Gammaproteobacteria; Oceanospirillales; Halomonadaceae
Description: partial 16S ribosomal RNA
Rfam family: Bacterial small subunit ribosomal RNA
Source: RNAcentral